ACAUCAGUGAGGUUAAUCCUUACCUGUUCCUCCUUAGGGAGUAACAGACAUGAUGAAUGGAGGAGGCUGAGUAUCUGAUUACACGGAUCUCCCACACCUUCGGGAUAUGACGACGCAUCCCGAGGGUGAUAUUCUGAU
Bombina bombina (fire-bellied toad) is the source of this 138-nucleotide small nucleolar RNA. RefSeq annotates it as U8 small nucleolar RNA. The transcript has a single exon. NCBI's taxonomy places the organism in Eukaryota, Metazoa, Chordata, Amphibia, Anura, Bombinatoridae. The record is from RefSeq and is a predicted model, not a curated record.